This 647-nucleotide long non-coding RNA is filed under the name Mustela putorius furo (domestic ferret). RNAcentral's name for it is "lncRNA (ENSMPUG00000026720.1)". Lineage: Eukaryota; Metazoa; Chordata; Mammalia; Carnivora; Mustelidae. The record is from RNAcentral.
CUUGUGAGUGAGGAGGACAGAGAAACCACCCGAUUAUUUUGAGUCACGGGGUAAGCCGUUAGGAGUAAAACCUAAGAGCGGGAAGCCUGAAAGCUGCGUCCAUCCAUGAAAUCCUUGUCGGUCAGAGAGGUCCCUGAAAAUGCCAGUCACAGUUUCACUGGUGCUCAGGUAGCUGAAACGAGGCAGAAGAAAUGGGCUCUCCUCUGAGAAGCAACAUCAGGACAAGAGCUACCACUGUGCUUCCUGCUUUACAAUGGGGGCCCUGCUUCAUCACUCCGGGCCAUUCCAGAAACGGAAGCCUUCCGGGCUUCCAGAAGCUGUUAGCUGCAACCUGCCUGGGCCAGGCCCACAUUCUGCUCCCGAGGAUAAUUCCUACAUGCUUCUGCCUGUAUCCUCUCAUUCCACAGCUUCAGAGAGGAUCGUCUUCCACACGUGCACAAAGGAUCGACCUGGUUGAGCAAGUCAACAGAAGAUCAGAGAAUGGCAAAAUCUCGCCAGAAGUUCAUUCGAUAAAUGGCCCAUAAAGGUCCCAGAAAUAAUUUAUCAAAAUGGAGGACCCAAUCCUGCCUGUCGUACUGCAUUUAGUUGUCACAGCUCCUCAGUCUCCUCUUGUCUGUGACAGUUCUUCAGCCUCCCCUCGUCUUUCA